Small nuclear RNA from Anolis carolinensis (green anole), 149 nucleotides. Its record names the gene U2. It matches the Rfam family "U2 spliceosomal RNA". From Rfam's summary of the family: U2 is a small nuclear RNA (snRNA) component of the spliceosome (involved in pre-mRNA splicing). Complementary binding between U2 snRNA (in an area lying towards the 5' end but 3' to hairpin I) and the branchpoint sequence (BPS) of the intron results the bulging out of an unpaired adenosine, on the BPS, which initiates a nucleophilic attack at the intronic 5' splice site, thus starting the first of two transesterification reactions that mediate splicing. NCBI's taxonomy places the organism in Eukaryota, Metazoa, Chordata, Lepidosauria, Squamata, Anolidae. The record is from Ensembl.
UAAGCUUCUCGGCCUUUUGGCUAAGAUCAAGAAUAGUAUCUGUUCUUAUCAGUUUAAUAAUGUCACUAAUUCUGAUAUGUUCACCAUAUCCCUAGUUACUGGUUGUUGUGGUUUGGUUUUGAUACAUUUUAAUGAUUUUUAUACCCAGC